ACGGGUGAGUAAUGCCUAGGAAAUUGCCCUGAUGUGGGGGAUAACCAUUGGAAACGAUGGCUAAUACCGCAUGAUGCCUACGGGCCAAAGAGGGGGACCUUCGGGCCUCUCGCGUCAGGAUAUGCCUAGGUGGGAUUAGCUAGUUGGUGAGGUAAGGGCUCACCAAGGCGACGAUCCCUAGCUGGUCUGAGAGGAUGAUCAGCCACACUGGAACUGAGACACGGUCCAGACUCCUACGGGAGGCAGCAGUGGGGAAUAUUGCACAAUGGGCGCAAGCCUGAUGCAGCCAUGCCGCGUGUGUGAAGAAGGCCUUCGGGUUGUAAAGC
This 326-nucleotide ribosomal RNA is filed under the name Vibrio parahaemolyticus. RNAcentral describes it as "bacterial SSU rRNA". It matches the Rfam family "Bacterial small subunit ribosomal RNA", at positions 102 to 431 of the family's 1533-position model. Lineage: Bacteria; Pseudomonadati; Pseudomonadota; Gammaproteobacteria; Vibrionales; Vibrionaceae. The record is from RNAcentral.